This 492-nucleotide ribosomal RNA is filed under the name uncultured bacterium. Its description in RNAcentral is "partial 16S ribosomal RNA". It matches the Rfam family "Bacterial small subunit ribosomal RNA", at positions 29 to 507 of the family's 1533-position model. The record is from RNAcentral.
AGUGAACGCUGGCGGUAGGCCUAACACAUGCCAGUCGAACGGCAGCACAGUAAGAGCUUGCUCUUACGGGUGGCGAGUGGCGGACGGGUGAGGAAUACAUCGGAAUCUACUUUUUCGUGGGGGAUAACGUAGGGAAACUUACGCUAAUACCGCAUACGACCUACGGGUGAAAGCAGGGGAUCCUCGGACCUUGCGCGAUUGAAUGGGCCGAUGUCGGAUUAGCUAGUUGGCGGGGUAAAGGCCCACCAAGGCGACGAUCCGUAGCUGGUCUGAGAGGAUGAUCAGCCACACUGGAACUGAGACACGGUCCAGACUCCUACGGGAGGCAGCAGUGGGGAAUAUUGGACAAUGGGCGCAAGCCUGAUCCAGCCAUACCGCGUGGGUGAAGAAGGCCUUCGGGUUGUAAAGCCCUUUUGUUGGGAAAGAAAAGCAGCAGGUUAAUACCCCGCUGUUCUGACGGUACCCAAAGAAUAAGCACCGGCUAACUUCGUG